UACGUAGGGUGCAAGCGUUAAUCGGAAUUACUGGGCGUAAAGCGUGCGCAGGCGGUCGUGUAAGUCAGAUGUGAAAUCCCCGGGCUCAACCUGGGAAUUGCAUUUGAGACUGCACGGCUAGAGUGUGUCAGAGGGGGGUAGAAUUCCACGUGUAGCAGUGAAAUGCGUAGAUAUGUGGAGGAAUACCGAUGGCGAAGGCAGCCCCCUGGGAUAACACUGACGCUCAUGCACGAAAGCGUGGGGAGCAAACAGG
This 253-nucleotide ribosomal RNA is filed under the name uncultured bacterium. RNAcentral's name for it is "partial 16S ribosomal RNA". It matches the Rfam family "Bacterial small subunit ribosomal RNA", at positions 524 to 776 of the family's 1533-position model. The record is from RNAcentral.